UACGUAGGGUGCAAGCGUUAAUCGGAAUUACUGGGCGUAAAGCGUGCGCAGGCGGUUUGGAAGGAAAGGUGUGAAAUCCCAGAGCUUAACUUUGGAACUGCACUUUUAACUGCCAAGCUAGAGUAUGUCAGAGGGGGGUAGAAUUCCACGUGUAGCAGUGAAAUGCGUAGAGAUGUGGAGGAAUACCGAUGGCGAAGGCAGCCCCCUGGGAUGAUACUGACGCUCAUGCACGAAAGCGUGGGGAGCAAACAGG
This 253-nucleotide ribosomal RNA is filed under the name uncultured bacterium. RNAcentral describes it as "partial 16S ribosomal RNA". It matches the Rfam family "Bacterial small subunit ribosomal RNA", at positions 524 to 776 of the family's 1533-position model. The record is from RNAcentral.